This 354-nucleotide unclassified non-coding RNA is filed under the name soil metagenome. RNAcentral's name for it is "partial contains 5.8S ribosomal RNA, internal transcribed spacer 2, and large subunit ribosomal RNA". The stretch from base 1 to 120 matches the Rfam family "5.8S ribosomal RNA", at positions 35 to 154 of the family's 154-position model. The record is from RNAcentral.
GAUGAAGAACGUAGCGAAACGCGAUAUGUAAUGUGAAUUGCAGAAUUCAGUGAAUCAUCGAAUCUUUGAACGCACAUGGCGCCUUCCAGUAUCCUGGGAGGCAUGCCUGUCCGAGCGUCGUUUCAACCCUCGAGCCCUCGUGGCCCGGCGUUGGGGAUCUGCCACGGCAGGCCCCGAAAUACAGUGGCGGACCCGUUAGGCCCUUCCUUUGCGUAGUAGCAUCAGCCUCGCAUCGGGAGCCGGCGGGCGCUCCUGCCUCUAAACCCCCCAACAAGCCCGCUCCGGCGGCACCAAGGUUGACCUCGGAUCAGGUAGGAAUACCCGCUGAACUUAAGCAUAUCAAUAAGCGGAGGA